RNAcentral lists this non-coding RNA (122 nucleotides) under Brassica napus (rape). The record is from RNAcentral. Lineage: Eukaryota; Viridiplantae; Streptophyta; Magnoliopsida; Brassicales; Brassicaceae.
AUUCCAAGUCAGUUGAGUGUCCGGACUCGAGCGAAGGCUUGCGGUUCAGACUCUCUUAGAGCGGAGACUGUGUGAGGCUCGUUUCACAGAGCAGCGUCCAACUCCCGCUUUUGACGGUUGAA